ACGCUGGCGGCAGGCCUAACACAUGCAAGUCGAGCGGUAGAGAGAAGCUUGCUUCUCUUGAGAGCGGCGGACGGGUGAGUAAUGCCUAGGAAUCUGCCUGGUAGUGGGGGAUAACGUUCGGAAACGGACGCUAAUACCGCAUACGUCCUACGGGAGAAAGCAGGGGACCUUCGGGCCUUGCGCUAUCAGAUGAGCCUAGGUCGGAUUAGCUAGUAGGUGAGGUAAUGGCUCACCAAGGCGACGAUCCGUAACUGGUCUGAGAGGAUGAUCAGUCACACUGGAACUGAGACACGGUCCAGACUCCUACGGGAGGCAGCAGUGGGGAAUAUUGGACAAUGGGCGAAAGCCUGAUCCAGCCAUGCCGCGUGUGUGAAGAAGGUCUUCGGAUUGUAAAGCACUUUAAGUUGGGAGGAAGGGUUGUAGAUUAAUACUCUGCAAUUUUGACGUUACCGACAGAAUAAGCACCGGCUAACUCUGUGCCAGCAGCCGCGGUAAUACAGAGGGUGCAAGCGUUAAUCGGAAUUACUGGGCGUAAAGCGCGCGUAGGUGGUUUGUUAAGUUGGAUGUGAAAUCCCCGGGCUCAACCUGGGAACUGCAUUCAAAACUGACUGACUAGAGUAUGGUAGAGGGUGGUGGAAUUUCCUGUGUAGCGGUGAAAUGCGUAGAUAUAGGAAGGAACACCAGUGGCGAAGGCGACCACCUGGACUAAUACUGACACUGAGGUGCGAAAGCGUGGGGAGCAAAC
This 745-nucleotide ribosomal RNA is filed under the name uncultured bacterium. Its description in RNAcentral is "bacterial SSU rRNA". It matches the Rfam family "Bacterial small subunit ribosomal RNA", at positions 33 to 773 of the family's 1533-position model. The record is from RNAcentral.